This 590-nucleotide ribosomal RNA is filed under the name uncultured Burkholderia sp. RNAcentral's name for it is "bacterial SSU rRNA". It matches the Rfam family "Bacterial small subunit ribosomal RNA", at positions 418 to 1003 of the family's 1533-position model. Lineage: Bacteria; Pseudomonadati; Pseudomonadota; Betaproteobacteria; Burkholderiales; Burkholderiaceae. The record is from RNAcentral.
UCGGGUUGUAAAGCACUUUUGUCCGGAAAGAAAACCUCAGCCCGAAUACGGCGGGGGGAUGACGGUACCGGAAGAAUAAGCACCGGCUAACUACGUGCCAGCAGCGCGGUAAUCGUAGGGUGCGAGCGUUAAUCGGAAUUACUGGGCGUAAAGCGUGCGCAGGCGGUUCGUUAAGACAGAUGUGAAAUCCCCGGGCUUAACCUGGGAACUGCAUUUGUGACUGGCGGGCUAGAGUAUGGCAGAGGGGGGUAGAAUUCCACGUGUAGCAGUGAAAUGCGUAGAGAUGUGGAGGAAUACCGAUGGCGAAGGCAGCCCCCUGGGCCAAUACUGACGCUCAUGCACGAAAGCGUGGGGAGCAAACAGGAUUAGAUACCCUGGUAGUCCACGCCCUAAACGAUGUCAACUAGUUGUCGGGUCUUCAUUGACUUGGUAACGUAGCUAACGCGUGAAGUUGACCGCCUGGGGAGUACGGUCGCAAGAUUAAAACUCAAAGGAAUUGACGGGGACCCGCACAAGCGGUGGAUGAUGUGGAUUAAUUCGAUGCAACGCGAAAAACCUUACCUACCCUUGACAUGGACGGAACUUGGCUG